RNAcentral lists this ribosomal RNA (356 nucleotides) under uncultured bacterium. RNAcentral describes it as "bacterial SSU rRNA". It matches the Rfam family "Bacterial small subunit ribosomal RNA", at positions 8 to 353 of the family's 1533-position model. The record is from RNAcentral.
AGAGUUGAUCCUGGCUCAGGAUGAACGCUAGCUACAGGCUUAACACAUGCAAGUCGAGGGGAAACGAUAGUUGGAAGCUUGCUUCCGAUAGGCGUCGACCGGCGCACGGGUGAGUAACGCGUAUCCAACCUGCCCACCACUUGGGGAUAACCUUGCGAAAGUAAGACUAAUACCCAAUGAUAUCUCUAGAAGACAUCUGAAAGAGAUUAAAGAUUUAUCGGUGAUGGAUGGGGAUGCGUCUGAUUAGCUUGUUGGCGGGGUAACGGCCCACCAAGGCGACGAUCAGUAGGGGUUCUGAGAGGAAGGUCCCCCACAUUGGAACUGAGACACGGUCCAAACUCCUACGGGAGGCAGCA